AAUUGUGAGAAUGAUCUGGCUGGGACACCUGCCAGCUCUUUGAUUUCCAGGGUUGAUUUGCCAGAUCUGGCUAGCUAGCCAUGUGUCUCCUUCCUCCCUCAAUACUCCAAUCAUGUGUAUCCUUUUCAAAGCUGAACAUUCUAUUGAAGAGGACAACCUUGCCCAAAUAGAAGAGGAACAAAUCUCUAGUCAAAAGUACAUGAGAAGCUUCAAUCCUCUGCUAGAAUCUUCAAACAAAUGAUCAUAAUAUUUUAAACACUCAAAAGACCUAAGAGUUUUCACAAAUGUAUAUAUCAAAUAUAUAUUUCAGUUACUAU
Molecule: small nuclear RNA, 317 nt
Filed under: Rattus norvegicus (Norway rat)
Lineage: Eukaryota; Metazoa; Chordata; Mammalia; Rodentia; Muridae
Description: 7SK RNA
Rfam family: 7SK RNA
About the family: 7SK was discovered as an abundant small nuclear RNA in the mid-70s but a possible function has only recently been suggested. Two independent studies have found that 7SK RNA binds the CDK9/cyclin T complex (known as elongation factor P-TEFb).
Source: Rfam by way of RNAcentral